This 583-nucleotide long non-coding RNA is filed under the name Homo sapiens (human). Its description in RNAcentral is "non-protein coding lnc-GLUD1-8:1". The record is from RNAcentral. Lineage: Eukaryota; Metazoa; Chordata; Mammalia; Primates; Hominidae.
GGAGAUGGUACCGUGUGCUAACCCCACUCUGAGACAAACCUGGGUCACAGGAACCAUAGGGAAGAUGUCUGCAGUAGAAGGGGACCUCGAAGUACUCAAGUACUUGGCUCACAACAGCACUAUUCACAUAAAGCCUGGCCUGCCCCUUGGUGACCUCCUUCCCUUACGCCUCUAGACUCUACUAGGUGAUCAGAAAUCCCUGCAAGCUAGUUGGGGAGGGAAGAGUGAAAGUGAAAAAUGGAGAGGAAACACUGCUACCCGCCCAAUGCCUGAAGCCAAAUGCAAGCCUGGGCCAGGCUUGGGGGAGGAAUCAAGAGGAAGCUUAAACUUAAAAUGAAAUCGAAAGUUUAGACUCCUACAUGGGAUUGGACAUUUUAAAUGCUGAACAGAGCCUAUUUUUAUAGCUAGAAGUUACAGGACAAAUUUUUGGUUAACUGAGAAUGAUCCAAAAAUCAUGUGAAUUUUGUGAUCCAGAAAGUCACAGAACAUGCCCUAGAUUUUAUCCCAGGGGCAGGGAGGAGUGACCUGCAGAGCAAGUUUGAAUUGGUAAAUAGAAAACAAGAAUAAAAUAGUUUGCUGUUUA